Molecule: non-coding RNA, 3654 nt
Organism: Plutella xylostella (diamondback moth)
Lineage: Eukaryota; Metazoa; Arthropoda; Insecta; Lepidoptera; Plutellidae
Source: RefSeq, a predicted model, not a curated record
GAAAAGAACCAUUUGAAAUCGGUCACCCAUCCUAUGGCUGACCGUGCCAGUUGUUGCUUAACCUCAGUGAUCAGUUACGAUCACUGAAGCCCGCUCGACUAAGGACGCUUCCGUUUCGUGCUUCCCCCAUUCCCUGGACAUUCCAGUUUCCAUUACCCAAGGAUAAUGUAUACUAUACAAGGACUUGGGUGAACUGUUUUUCCAAGUAGGUAGUAAUAGAAAGUCGCUGUUUUUUUCUACCGAGACUGAUUAUUCCUGACACGUUAUUCCCUGGCUGUUCCAGAUUGGACGUGUCAUUCUUAGUCCGAGUAAAAAACGUUAGUACCUACUUCCCAACUUAAAUAAAAUUAAAUAUAUAAUUAAUGUAGGUAGGUAGAUACACGUAAUGUGUUUUUUCCUGGACAUUUCAUGUUUUUUCCCCUGUACAUUCAUCUUCGGCUUCAUAUUCUCGGACUUUUUCUUAGAAGCAAUAUUAAAAAAAGAUUUUAAGAUCCAUUCCCCAUUGGUCAUGGUGCAAAAUUGUAUAUUAUGAUUAAUAAUAUUGUAUUCUAUUCUAAAAGGAUUCCAGGAUCCAUUCCUCAUUGGUUGUACUGACGGUGGUUUGAACAGAGAUUUGUCUACGGUUGUAGCGAAUCCUAUAACAACAUGUCAUUUCCCUCGGUCAUGAUUCGUCAUGAUAUUCUCUUGUUCUCACAGUUAUAUUUCGACACAUUUCUUAAUGUUUCCACUGGUUCAAUUUCCUAUUCAAUAUUCUAUUCUAUUCUAUUCUAAAUAAAGAUACGUACUGCGGUGACCAACGAAUCCUCUAGGCCUAGUCAAUAUUUCUCAUCCACGUCGCCAGUCUUCAUUUUGCCACUGGUAUGUAUGCCCUGGACAUUACAGUUUCCAUUGCCCAAGGAUUUUGUUGUAUAUUAUACAAGUACUUGGGUGAAAUAUUUUUCCAAGAAGAAAUAGCAAGUCGCUGUUUAUCUUAAGGCUUUUCUAAUGAGACUGGUUCUAUUCCUGACACGUUAUUCCCUGGCUGUUCCAGAUUGGACGUGUCAUUUUAGUCCUAGUGAAAAACGUAUUCAUUACUUACCUACUUAAAUAAAAUAUAUAAUUAAUGUAGGUAGAUAGAUACGUAAUGUGUUUUUUCAUACACAUUUCAUGUUUUUUUCUUUGUACAUUUCCGGUAAGUAGAUAUUUGUAGACAAAUGUUUCCAAGAUCCAUUCCUCAUUGGUUGCACUGACAGUGGUAUAGAACACCACAGAUAUUCCGGCUCGUUCUUUUCCCAGUCGUCAUUCGUCACGUUAUUCCCUGGAGAUUCUAGUAUCCAUUCCAGCUUUGAUAGGUUCAGGCGCUCCUCGUAAAUCGGUUCAGCCGUUUGGGAGCUUCGCUACUACCCACACAUACACAUAAAUGUUAAACUUAUAACAAUGUGAGGUAAAUCCGCAAUCCGCGGCGGUGCGCAGUGUAUAAAUUGCCUAAAGUGCUUCCCAUUACUACAAGAAAACAUCCUUUACCCGAGGACUAUUUAAAAAAGUUUCCAAGCUCCAUUCCCCAUUGGUUUCAACCACUCGAGGUGAAAUAAUUACUCCGGCUCAUCUUUUUCCCAUGGCCUGGACAUUUCAGUUUCCAUUGCCCAAGGGUUUUGUAUAUUAUACAAGUACUUGGGUGAAAUGUUUUUGAAAGAAGAAAGAGGAAGGCGCUGAUUAUCUUAAAGACUUUUCUAAUGAGACUGGUUAUUCCUGACACGUUAUUCCCUGGCUGUCCCAGAUUGGACGUGUUAUUUUAGUCCGAGUAAAAAACGUCAUUACUUCCCUAAUAAAAUAAAAUUAAAUAUAUAAUUAAUGUUUCCUGGACAUUUCAUGUAUUUUCCCAUGUAUUUACAUACAUUCCCAGUACAUAUUCUCAGACUUUUUCUAAGAAGUGAUGUAAAAAAAGAUUCCUAGAUCCAUUCCUCAUUGGUUGCACUGACAGUGGUAUAGAACACCACAGAUAUUCCGGCUCGUUCUUUUCCCAGUCGUCAUUCGUCACGUUAUUCCCUGGAGAUUCUAGUAUCCAUUUCAGGUUGGAAACGUGGUGUCGCUUCUCGUAAAUCGGUUCAGCCGUUCGGGAGCUACGCUACCCAAGGAUAUACUAUAAAACGACUUGGGUGAAUUGUUUUUCCAAGUAGGUAAGUAGUAACAGCAAGUCGCUGUUUAUCUAAAAGACAUUUCUACCGAGAUCUAUUAUUAUUCCUGACACGUUAUUCCAGAUUGAGCGUGUCAUUUUAAUCCGAGUAAAAAACGUCAUUACUUACCUAAUUAAAUAUAAUAUAUAUAUAAUUAAUGUAGGUAGAUAACUAAUGUGUUCUUACCUGGACAUUUCGUGUAUUUUCCCCUGUACAUUACCAGUACAUAUUCUCAGAGUUUUUCUAAUAAUUAAUAUUUAAUAAAAGUUUCCAAGAUCCAUUCCUCAUUGAUUGCACUGAAAUAAUUAGAUACCUAUUCGGGUUCAUCCUUUUCCCACGGCCUGGACAUUCCAGGAGUUUCCAUUGCCCAAGGAUUUUGUAUAUUAUACAAGUACUUGGGUGAAAUGUUUUUCAAAGAAGAAAUAGCAAAUCGCUGCUUAUCUUAAAGACUUCUCUAAUCAGACUAGUUACUCCUGACACGUUAUUCCCUGGCUGUCCCAGAUUGGACGUGUCAUUUUUAGUCCGAGUAUAAAACGUCAUUACUUCCCUAAUUAAAUAUAUAAUUAAUGUAGGUACCUAAUGUCAUUUUUCCUGGACAUGUCAUGUAUUUUCCCAUGUAUUUACAUUCCCAGUACAUAUUUUCAGACUUUUUCUAAGAAGUGAUAUAAAAAAAGAUUCCUAGAUCCAUUCCUCAUUGGUUGCACUGACAGUGGUACAGAACAACUCUCGAGAUGAGGUAUUCUGGUUCGGGUUUCUCCCAGUCGUUAUUUGUCACGUUAUUCCCUGGAGAUUCCAGUAUCCAUUCCGCUUUGAACUCGUACUGACGUGGUAUAAAAACACCUCUUGAGAUGUAUAAGGUAUUCCGAUUCCUUUUUUCCCAGUCGUUCUUCAUCACCAGUAUCCAUUAUCUAUUAUCCAGUAUCCAUUCCGCCUUAGACAGGUUGCUUCACGUAAAUCGGUUCAACUGUUUGGGAGCUACGCUACCACAGACAUAUAUUUUACUAUUUACCAUAGUAUAGGCAAUCCGCAGCGGUGUGCAGUUUGUAAACCGCCUAAAGUGCUUCCCAAUAUGCACGAUAUUCCCUGACAGAUUAUUCCCUGACACGUUAUUCCCUAGUUUUGCCAGAUUGGAUGUGUCAAUUUAUUCAAAGUAACAUUUAUUUAAUAAAGAAUCCAUUGGAUAAUUAACUUCCUCUGGUCAACUUUUGUAGAAACAUAAUGUGUUUUUUCCUAGACGUUUCAGUCUAUUACGUCUAAGUAUUCUUAAUCCAAAAUUCCAAUAAAAGGCAUUUAAAAGGUUCAAAUCCAAAGGUUGUCUGGUUGAGAUUGCGUUUAGCAAUAAGGCCGCCUGUUUGUACUAUUUUAUUAUGAAGUUGACAUUUUGUAGUAAGUAAAUGUUUUCUUUCAUGGUGCAAAAUUGUAUAUUAUGAUGAUUAAUAUUUUAUUCUAUUCUAAAAGGAUUCCAGGAUCCAUUCCUCAUUGGUUGUACUGACGGUGGUUU